This 253-nucleotide ribosomal RNA is filed under the name uncultured bacterium. Its description in RNAcentral is "partial 16S ribosomal RNA". It matches the Rfam family "Bacterial small subunit ribosomal RNA", at positions 524 to 776 of the family's 1533-position model. The record is from RNAcentral.
UACGUAGGGUGCAAGCGUUAAUCGGAAUUACUGGGCGUAAAGCGUGCGCAGGCGGUCUCGUAAGACAGGUGUGAAAUCCCCGGGCUUAACCUGGGAACUGCGCUUGUGACUGCGAGGCUGGAGUGCGGAAGAGGGAGGUGGAAUUCCACGUGUAGCAGUGAAGGGCGUAGAGAUGUGGAGGAACACCGAUGGCGAAGGCAGCCUCCUGGUCUAGCACUGACGCUCAUGCACGAAAGCGUGGGGAGCAAUCAGG